UAGUAACUGCGAGUGAAGCGGGAAGAGCUCAAAUUUAAAAUCUGGCGGUCUCUGGCCGUCCGAGUUGUAAUCUAGAGAAGUGCUACCCGCGCUGGACCGUGUACAAGUCUCCUGGAAUGGAGCGUCAUAGAGGGUGAGAAUCCCGUCUCUGACACGGACUACCAGGGCUUUGUGGUACGCUCUCAAAGAGUCGAGUUGUUUGGGAAUGCAGCUCAAAAUGGGUGGUAAAUUCCAUCUAAAGCUAAAUAUUGGCGAGAGACCGAUAGCGAACAAGUACCGUGAGGGAAAGAUGAAAAGAACUUUGGAAAGAGAGUUAAACAGUACGUGAAAUUGCUGAAAGGGAAACGCUUGAAGUCAGUCGCGUUGGCCCGGGGAUCAGCCUCGCUUUUGCGUGGUGUACUUUCUGGUUGACGGGUCAGCAUCAAUUUUGACCGCUGGAAAAAGGGCUUGGGGAAUGUGGCAACUUCGGUUGUGUUAUAGCCCCUUGUCACAUACAGCGGUUGGGAUUGAGGAACUCAGCACGCCGCAAGGCCGGGUUUCGACCACGUUCGUGCUUAGGAUGCUGGCAUAAUGGCUUUAAGCGACCCGUCUUGAAACACGGACCAAGGAGUCUAACAUGCCUGCGAGUGUUUGGGUGGAAAACCCGAGCGCGUAAUGAAAGUGAAAGUUGAGAUCCCUGUCGUGGGGAGCAUCGACGCCCGGACCAGAACUUUUGGGACGGAUCCGCGGUAGAGCAUGUAUGUUGGGACCCGAAAGAUGGUGAACUAUGCCUGAAUAGGGUGAAGCCAGAGGAAACUCUGGUGGAGGCUCGUUGCGAUUCUGACGUGCAAAUCGAUCGUCAAAUUUGGGUAUAGGGCGAAA
This 861-nucleotide ribosomal RNA is filed under the name Macrolepiota capelariae. RNAcentral's name for it is "Macrolepiota sp. CCN-2022a partial large subunit ribosomal RNA". It matches the Rfam family "Eukaryotic large subunit ribosomal RNA", at positions 81 to 928 of the family's 3401-position model. Lineage: Eukaryota; Fungi; Basidiomycota; Agaricomycetes; Agaricales; Agaricaceae. The record is from RNAcentral.